CAUCUCCGCUGCUCCCGGUCGGCACUGUCCCCCGCAGUCGAGGCGCGGGCUCCUCCGGGGGUCUGAUAAAGCUGGAAAUAUCUCCAGAUACGUUUGUGAGAGACUGUAGAUGUACCAGCUCCUGUAGCAGCAGCAUCUGCUGGGGCCGUGUGAUCUGAAGAAAUAAACACAGGACUUCCUGAUGUCUAAAAUUAUAUAAUCCCGGUUCUCCCAUUGACUCAAUGGCAAGCUCUCAAGUGUCUUGGAGUACUCCGCAUUUGGUGGGAAAUAUUGAAAGCGCUCUUUUCUCUCUUCACAUUUGUCAUCCACAGAGUCCGACGAUGAUAUAACUGAAGCAAAGAGAGGAUCAGUCACCUGGCAUGGAAGUAUUGGCACCAGAUAGGCCUUGAAUCCAGAAGCUGUGUUUAAUUUAUUGCAACAAUCUACUGUUUUUUUUGCCAACAUUUCAAAAGAAGGGAAGCUGAGCUGGGCAAAAACCUACAUCCAAGCUAGCUAUGAGAUCAAUGGGAAGAUGUCUGUACUACUGUGAUAUACAGGCCUUCAUGUACAUCUGCUAGAAAUAGUCUGCAAAACUUUUGGUGGCUUCUUCAGAAAUUCUAAGAGAAAGGUAAAUUUGAGCACAUUUAUUCAAUUGAGUGAAAUACUGAUAUUAGCCCUAAAACUAUUUAAUCCUCCAUGUAGUGUACUGUUGCUCGUAGCUGUUCAGUUUGGAAUCCACAGAUGAUACCUGAGAUUAUAAUUGCUGAGUUCAAUUAUUUUCUGUCUUUAGCUCUCUGAUAUACAUUUACAACAUAAAAGGGUGAUGCAUAAUUUGGUAUUUUGAAAAAUAACUGUUGUAAAGUUACUGAACUUACAAAAUGUCUCCCUCCUUUGAUUGUAUAUGAGGAAUAACAAAAGUGUCAAUCAGCCUGCUUCCAGGGUAACCACAGCAUAUGGACAGCUCUUUAUUAGCUGAUAAUACACUGCACAGAAAGGUCAGGUUAUAAAAGUCUUUUCAGGCUUUUAUUGUCAAAAUAUUAAAAAAAUCUAUGUAAGCAUCGGAAUAAAAUGCAUG
Alligator sinensis (Chinese alligator) is the source of this 1054-nucleotide long non-coding RNA. RefSeq lists it as uncharacterized. The transcript is spliced from 4 exons. The record is from RefSeq and is a predicted model, not a curated record. Lineage: Eukaryota; Metazoa; Chordata; Crocodylia; Alligatoridae.